CUGGAACCCUAAUGAGAGAUCAUGAUGCAGCCGUCCUUUUGGAUUUCUUUUUAAUAAUGUGUGACCCUUCACCUUUGAUCCCCUGACCUGCAUUACCUUGGCUCUCAGCACACACUUGUUCAUGGGCGCAUCAAGAAGAGGGACCCACAGAGCUGAAGCCGUGAGGGCUGACACAUUGGAAUGAAGCUGACAGAACUCGUAGAGAGCUUUACCGUUUUGCCAGCUCCCUGUUUGGCUUCAAGACAGUUCCAUUAGUGAAUUCAUUGUGCUCAAAACCCCAAGUUAACUUAGUAACAGAACGUUACUAAAAAUGAAGUAGACUAAGUGACCUAUUCUGGCAUCAUCCAGAGUGGCGGUGCAGGAACUCGGCUGCCUGAUUCAGCCGUGGAGAGCAGGCCCCACCCACGUGCCUGUCCCAGAGCCUCGGUGACCGUGAUAUUCCCCCGUAGCUCUUUUCACGCUACUGUUUACACCCCCCCCCCCCACCCCCCGUGAUGGCCUGUGUGUGUCGAUUACCAUCUCCCUUGAGAAUGGAAGCUCCACAGGAGCAGGCUCUCCAUCUUGUCCCCUCUCCUCAGCACACAGGGCAGUGCCUGGCACCGUGGAGUCUCAAUAAAUGCUGUUGAAUGAA
This is a long non-coding RNA of Dipodomys spectabilis (banner-tailed kangaroo rat), 631 nucleotides long. RefSeq lists it as uncharacterized. NCBI's taxonomy places the organism in Eukaryota, Metazoa, Chordata, Mammalia, Rodentia, Heteromyidae. The transcript has 4 exons. The record is from RefSeq and is a predicted model, not a curated record.